AUAGCAAUGAAUUAAUAUAAUCAAUAAAUGAAAAAUUUGAUUUUGUUGUUUAAAGAUAUCAAGACAUUUCUACCACACAAACUCUUAUGGAUUUGAGUAUAUUACAUAUUAUGUGAUAUUAAUAGUAGAUUACCGAUCCAAACCUUGGAAAACAAUUGAUUCAGACAUAUCUUUCAGAACCAGUUUAUCAUCAGUCAGUGGAACGUCAAUUGAAUUAAAUAUUUGAAAGAAGAAUGGCUCUGACAUUUACUCCUAAAAUAUUAUGUCAGUUUUCAUAUUAUGGCCGUGAGAAGAAGGACAUUAAUUUGAAAAAUAGAUUGGUAAUAAAUUCAACUGUAAGCACAAUUAAAAUAUCACAGGAAACCUACCUCAACACACCGAGUUCAACACCGAAUCUGAUUUUGAACUAAAACUAGUGAAGAAGUAAAAAUUGUGAAGUACCAAUACAGCUUAUGUCCAGAAAAUUACUAGUUUGUCAUCCAAAACUUAUUUUUUCCCAAAUUAAUUGGUCAUGCACUAAAUAUACAAAAUGCAUAAGUACUCAUAAACAUUGAACAAAUGCAUAUGAAAAACAUACAAGAUUGAUAAAUUACUUAAUAGCAAUGAAACAUGAUCUAUAAUUGAAAAAUUAGAUUUAGUUGUUCAAAGAUAACAAGAAAGUUCUACCACACAAACUCUUAUGGAAUUGAGUAUAUUACAUAUUAUGUGAUAUUAAUAAUAGAUUUCCGAUCCAAACCUUGGAAAACAAUUUAUUCUGACAUAUUUUUCAGAACCAGUUUAUCAUCAGUCAGUGGAACGUCAAUUGAAUUAAAUAUUUGAAAGAAGAAUGGCUUUGACAUUUACUCCUAAAAUAUUAUGUCAGUUUUCAUAUUAUGGCCGUGAGAAGAAGGACAUUAAUUUGAAAAAUAGAUUGGUAAUAAAAUAAUAUUUGGUGUGAAACAUAUA
Long non-coding RNA from Acyrthosiphon pisum (pea aphid), 945 nucleotides. RefSeq lists it as uncharacterized. The record is from RefSeq and is a predicted model, not a curated record. Lineage: Eukaryota; Metazoa; Arthropoda; Insecta; Hemiptera; Aphididae. The transcript is spliced from 6 exons.